AUGCUGCCACCUGUUUGGAGGGAAACGCCUCUCUGCCUGUGGGAGGGCUACAGGACUGCACCUCCAUGCAGGGCAGUAAUGGUAAGUCACCAGCCACACCGAUGGAAACCCUCGCGCUCAGGUUUGGGGCUUGGCUCAGCAGAAAAUGGUGAGACAGAAGCACUGAGCCAUCACUGGCUUUCUGCACAAACUAACCAGUACCGAUCCAAGAAUAAAGGCAGCUUUGGUGAAUUUUGUUGCUUCAGCUCCUGCCACAGUAGAGUUGAAUGUCACUUGAGGCAAUCAGCUUGAGAGAGGAUGCACAGCCUUUUGUCCACUGUCAUAUGGCAAAACUUCUAAGAGCCGUGACACUACACCAGAGAUAUUUCAUCAGGUGGAUGAGAGUGAAAAGAUUACUCACUGCAUAUAUUACAAAUUAUAUGAAAACAGCACACUUCUGGUAAAAAAUACAGAUUUGUUUUGCAGACCCACUUUACUAUUCAACUUUGAAACACAUCGCGUAUUCUGGGAGCCAAAUCCCACUUUUUAUUAGUGCAAGUAACUUUUGACGCCUUCAUCAAUUGGAAGGUAAAAAUCUAGUCUCACUAGCAAAUUAAGCAGACUUUGGUCCUGCAGUGUCAUAUGUAACUUCUACUUCAAACAACAAGUCUGACUUGUAAGUGGAAAUUUGUUUUCUGAAAGCUGUAAAACUGAAUGCAAUAGAACCAUCUGCUGAAAAAGAAGCAGCAUUGUAUCAGAGUAGAGUAAUAAUAAUGAACCUUUGAGAGAGUAGAGGAUUUCAGAAUUAUUCUCCUUUCUAGAUCUUCUAACAAUGACACUUAGAAGAGAGCUUGACACAUCUUUGAAUUUGUUAUAAAGUUGUGUGAUUAAAAGUAUUGAUUUUAUAGCAUUUUCAUUUUCCAAAGAAGCAGAAUAACUUUUGUAUAUGACUUUUUGACUUUCCAUGUACUAUUGCUAAAUAUUGUAAAUGAACAUCUUUUAAAUGUUCAUAACUACUAGCUGAAUUAUUCCUUCUUUUGAUAACCAAAACCAGAAAUAUUUCAUUCUGGAACAGAAAGAAACGUGAUAAAAAAGAGAUGUGUGAUAAAAUAUUGCUUAUUUGUUUUGUUUUGUUUUCAAUAAAUUAAAUACUUUGGUCUGACA
Molecule: long non-coding RNA, 1143 nt
Filed under: Anas platyrhynchos platyrhynchos (common mallard)
Lineage: Eukaryota; Metazoa; Chordata; Aves; Anseriformes; Anatidae
Description: lncRNA (ENSAPLG00000027786.1)
Source: RNAcentral